AUAAUAAACUUUGUAAAAUAUAAUACUUGAAGUAUUAGACAUUAAUUUAAAUCCUACAUUUAUGACAAACACAGAAGUGAGGUUUAGAACUCUUAAUUCUCUCUAAGUAGAUUAGUUUGAAAAGAAACCACAUUUCUCCUGCUGUUGUUGUUGAUCCUUCUCUUGCUACUAACUGCCUGGGUGGUCCCAGCUGAGCUCCUGCUGCUGAUUGUUUUGUCUUUUAGAACACACAAGCUGGGAGUCCUUGGAGCUGUUCUCCAGGAAACUGGAUAAGUAUAAAUCCCUCUUUCUCUUACAUUGCCAACACCUGAGUGCUUGUUCCCUGCUUGCCUUAGAACCCCAAGUGUGUUUUCCUUAGGCAAUAAUUAGCCUCCUAAAGGGCUUUUACCUGAGGAACUCCCUGUUCACAUAGCAGGGGAAGCAAGUGACUCCCUGGCAUUUUUUCCUAUGGGGGAGGGGAAGGAAGAAGGUUACUCUUCCAAAACUACAAAGAGGAAGUAGAAUUGCAAGCAUGGCCCACUCUAUGAAAGAACAGUGCAUUACCUGUCUCAAACAGCUCCCAGUUUUAGGGUAUCUUCUCUUACCUUGUGAUUAACUUGAAUAAAACUGUGAUUCAGGGGCCAUUCUGGCCUAUCCACUCUCUACAACACAUCCAAUAUGGGAUUCCUCCACACUAUGCUCAGUGUAGAAUUCUCCCUCACUCUGGGAGAUCCCAGAGGUGUGACCAAAGGAAUCUAGAUGCAUGAUGAUACUGGGGAGGGGAAGGAACUUUAAAGAGCCUGGAGGUGAAAUUUUUAAGCCUUUUUAGAUUCCAUUGUUUUAUGGAAGUCUCUGUAUCGGAAUUGGCAAAAAGGACUCAAAUUCAGUGCCUAUAUCCUGUCACAUAUAUUGUAUUUACUGAUUGCUUGUUUUAAUAUUUUAUUUUCUUAAUUUCUGUUACACUAUGUCACUUUAAGUUACUGUGUUUUGACAAUUAGCUAUAUAUACUGUUACAUUGUCUUUAUUUGUACCUCCACAUAUGAUUAGACUGGAGAAAACACCUUUGUAAAAGUACCUUACCUUUGAGUUUUUUAUAAAAAGAGGUAAGGGUCCAUUUAGUAGCUGAAGUGAAGAGCUAUAGCACUAUUAUAAUCCCCACCUCCACAUUUAUAAAAAUGUAGUGGAUGAGACAUAUAAAGACAUGCCAUAUAUGGCUGUUACAGUCUCAUCCAGGAAAUGGGAAGGUUUUCCUAGGGGACGUGGCAUCUCUAGAUGUCUCUUGAGAAGGUAGCAAAACUUUAAAAAUAAUACACUCAAUGAAUUGAUUAUGUAUACAAACUAAUUAUAUACUCUGCUUGCUGUGCUUACAAAGUAUCUACUUUAUAUACGUGAAGUGAAGUGAAGCUUAUAAGUGAACUGCUCUUCAAGGCCAGGUGCAAGUAAGCUAAGGUGACUCUUAUACAAAAAUAAACUAUUUAUUGAGAACAUAAGGAUAUAAAAGGAUUUCUAACUCUAAGGGAUUCUAACUCUACCCAAAUAAAAUCCCCUGGUUCCUCAAGGAACCACUUCUCCUAUUUUCCACAGGCUGAUCUUUCCUGAUCUGACUAACCCAAGGAUAAAUCAUUUCAUAAAUACACUAACAAAAACAGAUUUCCUAUGAAUACAAACUAUAUUUUAUAAAUCUUCUCCUUAGAGAUGAGCCUAAAUCUUGAGUGUGUCCCUUGGUAAAUUGACUCUUUUAUAAUUCAUGCAUUUUAUAGUUAUUUUGAAUGGGAUUAUUUUUCUAUUGCUUUAUCUCCAUUUCAUCUUUUGUUUGACUAAUACAAUGAUGAAUUCUGAUGAUUCUGGAAAUACCUGACUACUUUACUAAAGCUAUUAAUCAUCUUUGUUGAUUCUCCUGAGUUAUGAAGGUGAGUCACAAUAUCAUCUUCCAAUAGAGAACCAUUUUUUCUCUUUGUCUAUAUUUAUGCCUUUAAUUUUCUUACUUGCCAUCACUGACAUUUCCAGAAUUGCUUUCAAAUAAUGAUAGGGAAAGAGGCAUCUUUCAUUUAUGUCUGCAUUUAUUAGAAAAUGUUCUAGUGACUUUUUCAUUGUAGAUAUUGUUAUAUUUGAUAUUAGUACUUUGUCAUGCUAAAAAUAAUUCUUUCAUAACCAUGUUUUUUUUUAAAGUAGGUACAAGCAGGUAACUUUUCUGUAAUCAAAACCUAACCAAAUAAUCUUCUUCAUAUAACUUCACCAAAAGGAUCAGAUUGUUUCAAUUAAGAAGAGAGUUCAAACAACUAGAGAUUCUAGAAAAAGCAUCCACAAGCAGUGGGAGUGGUGGUCCUUGAGUUGAGCCUUGAAAAAAAGCUAAGGAUUUCAAGAGGUGAAGAUUAGGUGGUCAUGUAUUCCAGGUACAUGCAAAGACAAAAACAAAGAUGUCUUUUGAGAGGAGAAUUAUGCAGUUUGACUAUUUUAACAUUCAAUACUCAUUCCAGCAGAUAAUCAAUAUAAAUCAACCUUAAUUUCUUUUACAUCCUACUGCAGGAGGAAAGAAACCUCCCUUCACUAAACUCCUAUAGGAUUAAACAAGGUCUCCACAUUAAAAUCAAGGUAUAUUUCAUUCUUUAGGAUUUUUCCUGCUUGAUUCCUAGUCUAGGCCAUAGAACAGAAUUCUAUCUAUUAAAAGAGAAGAACUAAUUUCUGGAAAGAAAAUAAUGGGAACCUUGGAAGUCACCACUUCAUCUUAGAGUCUGCGAUAGAGGAGAAGAAGUAUGGUCAAAAUUUAUCAUCUAGCCAAUAUUUUGAGAAAGAUGAUUUCCAAGGAAUCAGAGGAAAGAUAGAUGGGAUUCGAUGGAUUACAAAAUUCUUCAGGUGAUAUCAGUCCCAAAGAGAUGGAAAAUAUUCAAAUGAAGUUCUGAAGAUUCAAAGGGAAAAAAAAUCCUUUGAAAAACUAUGGGAUAUAUAUGAAGAGGCCAAUAUAGAUACAUGGGAAAUUCAUCAACAAACAUAAUUCUAAAAGAAGUGUAUAAAACAGAAGCAAGACCAGGCAGUAUAAGAGUGUCAACAUCCUAUAAAAAUGUUUGUAAGACUAAAGUUCAGAAUUAAGUGAGGUUAGGAAAGGAAGUUAGGGACCACAAAAAUGGCAUAAUUUGUUUUUGUUCUUUUCUUUUUCUUUGCUCUAUUGAGAGAAAAAGGAUGAUCAACAAGAUAGAACUUAUUUGCUACCAUGAAAACUGACACCAUAGAGAAGGCCUUCCUUUUUGUUUGUUUUCCCUGCCAAGGGGAAUAACCUUUACAUUUGAAAUGACAAAAAGAAAAUGAAUAGUAAGGAGUUUUUGUUCAAAGAAAUAGUGAGAGAUUAACUAGCUGCCCUUAAAUGAUUUAAGUUGCCUGCCCCCAUGAACUACAUGGAUGAAUCCUAAGAAAGCAUGCCUACAUGAUUACUGAGCCAUUGUCCAUAUCUGAAAAAUCAUGAAAAACAGAAAGGGCAUUGUAAGAUUGAAGGGCAAAUGUCACAAUCUUCACAAAAUGGAAGAGAACAGAAUCUGUGAAGUAAAACACAAGCCAUGAGCUUUACUUUGAUUUCUGGGAAACUUAUAAAACAAAUAAUUGAAGAGAUAAUUGCCAAAUACAGUACCUAGAAAGGGAAUCAGUGAUUAAAAAUAAUCAGGAUGACUUCUUCAAGAAUGGGUCAUGCCAGUAAAUUCAUUUCAAUUUUCAACAAGAUUGCUAAAUUAGUAGAGGAUAGGAAUGUUAUAUAGUUUAUCUAGAUUUUAGCAAAUCGUUUGAUAAAGUAUAGCAAACUGUUCUUGUGGAGAAGAUAGAAUGGAAAAUAUUAGAGGAUAAUGCAAAAACAGAUGGAUUUAGACCUAAUUGGAUAGCCAGAUUCAAAGAGAAGUUGUUAAUGGUUCAACGUGGCAGGAGAUCUCCAGUUGAAAGCCUCAAAUAUCCGUGCUUCUCCCUGUCUUGUUUAACAUUUUUAUCAAUGACUUGGAUAAGACAUAACAUGCUUAUCAGAUUUACAGGUGACAAAAAGGGGGGCAUGAUACCUACCAUAAUAGAUAACAAUAAACAAAAAAAAAUUUGCCAGGUUAAAUCAAGAGUAAGUAAACUAUGACAGAAGGCCAAAUUUGGCCAGCUGCUUAUUUUUAUCCAAUCCAGAGCUGAAUGCUUUUAAAAAUAUUUAAAAAUAAAUAUUUGUUGUAAUUUUAAAUAUAAAGGUCAUUCUUAGUUCAUAGGCCUAUGUAAAAAUAAACAAAGCAGAUUUGACCCUUGAGCUGUAAAUCCUUGGAUUAAAUGAUUAGUGUGGUCCCUUCUAAUUCUCAAAUUCUAUGAUUCUGAGUUAGGGCAAUUAAAAUAAAUAUGCUCCAUAUAAUAUAAUUAAAAAGUAAACUAUAUUUUUAUCUUAUAGGAGUUCAAGUUUAACAUGAUUAAUAUAUAUUAUUUUCCUUAGAAAUUUAAAAACCAUCCCCUUUCUCUUUGAAAGAAAAAUUUCUAAUGAUAAUUUGAAAAUGAGGAUAAAAGUCAAAGAUCCCAAAUUUAGACAAAAUUAUAUUCCUCCUUUUUCAUUUCCCUACUCUUUCCUUUUUUCUUUUUAAACUCAUGACCGAAAUAUGUUAACUUGGACACUAGCAGAACUAGACCAAGAUAGAUUGGUUUUCCAGCCUGAUAUGAAAAAAUUUCUUUGUGUGAAUUGUGUUGUAUGAGUUAUGAUAUUUCUCAUAAAAUUGGUUUUUUUUCUUGGUUUAAAUUCCAGAAUUCCUGGUUUCCAUUUCUUGGGUUUUCCUGAAGAUGGAUAAGAUGAUGUAGGAACCAGAUUGCUCUGGUCAAUAGAAUAAGACCAUGGACUGUUCUAAUACUGAACUAGAGGGAUCCAGCUCUGUGAUCAAUAUAUUUACCUCUCUACAAAAGACAAAAUAAAGGCCUGAGCUUGUAAUCUGUCUGGUUUCCUGAGAAUGUAUGAGUUGCAAAAUCAAACCCAUCAAACAAACUUGUUGAAACUAGCAUCUGCUAGCUCUUCCAUCUUGUUCUAAAUUAAAGUCACUAACCCAGAAGAAGAGGCCUUUUAAGACCUGAGAUAAUCACAGAAGGUGAAGGAGAUUGGAGGUUGGACUUUGUGAGUUUUGAAAGGUCAAAGAGCAAACCUCUCAGAAAUCUGAGAGUGAAGUUUAUGCAGGUGUUUGUGCCCAGCUGACCUAAAAGUGAUAUUCCAAGGAACUAGGAAACAUCUUGGAAAAUUACUAAAUGCAAUACAAAUUGCAGAAAUCUUUGACUCUGAGCUAAUGAUUUCAUGAAUCACUAUAGUAAAGGAAUUAAUUCUCAGAUUACCAGAUGGCACAAAGCUAAAAGAGAUAGUUAACACAUUGGAUGACUCAGGAUCCAAAAACAUACUGAUAUUGUGAAACAUUGAGUAGACUCUUAAGAAAAUAAAAUUUUAAAAGGUAUUAUAUUUCUGUUUUUUAAAAAUCCCCUUUACAAGUACAUGUUUGCAGAGAUAAGGCUAUGAAACAAUUGAUCUGAAAAAAAUCUAAAUUUCUUCAUGGAUGUGAAAUUCAGUAUAUUAAUAGUAUGAUAUAAUAGCUUUAAAAACAUGAUAUGGGGGGAAGUGGGUGGCUCAAUGGAUUGAGAGUCAGACCUAAAGAUGGAGGUCCUAAGUUCAAAACUGGCCUCAGAUACUUUCCAGCUGUGUGACCCUGGGCAAGUCACUUGACCCCCAUUGCCCAGCCUUUACCACUCUUCUGCCUUGGAGCCAAUACACAGUAGUGACUCCAAGACGGAAGGUAAGGGUUUAAAAAAAAAAACAUGAUAUGAUAUUAUAUUUCAUUUAUAGAUAGUUUCCAGAAUCAGAGAGGUAAUUGCCUCCAUAGUUUUACUGUAUUCUGCCCUGGUCAGGUCAUAAAGGCAGUUUCGAGUUCAGUUUGGGGUUCCAUAUUGUAGAAAAUAGAAUCUGAAACUAGGAGAUCAUGUGUUUCUAAGAUAAAUAGGAGAACAUCCGAAGACAGUGACCAAAAAAGUUAAGAACCUGAAGUUUAUACAUUAUGAAGAUUAAAGAAAAUAUGGAGGGUUAGCUGAGAAAAAAAAAUGAUUUACAUGGAAUUUCCAGCUGGUUUCAUGUAUUUGAAAUGUUUUCAUGAAGAAAAGAGAUUUUAUUAUACAUGAAAAAACACCUAGGAGCAAUGACAUCAUUAUGAGGCAAAGGGGAGGAUGCACAAGGGUGUUUCAUGAUUUUACAAAAAUGCCAAAAUUUAAACUUGGGGACUAUAGUAUCAGCUACACUCCAGCACUCAUAGACUCCUCUUCUUAUAAACUCUUUCCAGCUUUUAUGCUAUUAUCAAGUGCUAGAAACAUAAAACCAAAGGAGAAAAAAAAAUUGUGCACCGAAUACUUUUUUAAAAAUUCUUAAUUUCUAUCUUAGUAAAAACUCUAUAAUAUAAGGCCAAGGGCUAGGCAAAUGGGGUUAAGUGACUUGCCUAGGAUCACUCAUCCAUUUAAGAAGUAUCUGAGGUCAGAUUUGCACCUAGAUCCUCCCAAAUCUAGGCUUGGUUCUCUAGUUUACCACCUAGUUAUCUCUGCACUGAAUGCUUCUUGCUCUGAUACCAUAUCACUGGUUCACUCUAACCUCCAAGUCUCCUUGAUAUUUAACCUUUUCUUGGCUACCUUACUUUUAACUGUUCCCUGACAAGAAUGUCUGAUUUCAUCUUGCCCUCUCUUAUCUCAUCUUCAUGCAGGAUCCAAAUCAAAGUUUCAGUUCACAAUCUGAAUUUUCUGCAGUUAGUCAGAAGGGGCCACACUUCAAACCCUAAGUAUCUUUUUCAGCAGGGAAAAUAUAGAAACCUGAUCACUUUCUCCUCCUCCAUUUCUGCCUCCUGACCUUGCAAGACCUGGGUGGAAAAUUCCUUCAAGGCUUGCCCAACACCCAUUUUACUAAUAUUUAAAUCCUGGGGGCCAGCAGGGGGCUAGGAAAGGGAGUAUGGAGAGCAAUUCCUUUUCUCUGCUGCUUCUAAAGAACCACUUCAUAAUGUGAAAUUAGCUCAUUAAUAAUGAGGACAGAAUCUAAUUAUGCGAAUGGAUCAAAGUUAUAAACAAUGAGAUAAUGUGCUAUUUUUAAGUGACCUGAAAAGGUCAGUUUCUCUCCAAUAUGGUGUAGAAUCUUAGGAGUGUUACUUAUAAUUUGUUAUGUUGAAAUUGUCCAUUUGCAAAUACUGGCAAACAAAGAGUUAACAGUUCCACAUGAUACUUAGAUUUAAUCCCAGAUUCCCUUAUUGAAUCAAAUCUUAUGUAGGCUAUUUAGGUCAGAUGCUAUGGAAAUGCCCUCUCUGUCAUUUUCUCAUAAAUGUUGCAUAUAUUCCUCAUUAGAAAAAAUGUUAUUUUUAGAGUUCAUUAAACAGGUUAAGCUCCUUAAUGCUACUAAGAGGAGAGAUGUCUUUUUAACAGUAGAACAGAAGUUAAAGCUAAUCUUUAUAGCAUUGUCAAUGUUUCAAAAUGAAGGUCUUUUUACUGUUUACUUUAGAUUAUACAGUGCAAAGUGUAAGCAAUAGUUUAGUAAAUGAUUUGAAACUAUAUCUCAGUAAUCAGAUCUGAAAAAAAUAACUUAAUUGUUCUCUUGUCUCAGACUAUCAACUUUGUCAAGAAAAUAAGUCAUUAACCAUAGCAACUUGUCCUUUUGCUCAGGGAAAGAACUAUUCUAAUUUAAUCACAAGAAGUCUGCCUUGACCUCCCCAUCCCUGUCCCAACUAUAAGGUCACCCUUACUUUAUAAAUUCAUUUUGCAUACUCUAAAUGUCUAAAUUACUCCCUAAUAAUCAAUCAAGUUUUUCAGAAAGAAGUCUUUAGCAAACCUGGUAAACAGUUCUUAUGCUAUGAUUAUUUAAAGAGAUACAGUAAUUUAAUAUGCAACAUGAUUUUGAUUUCAGUGUAUAUCCUAGGAGCAACGUUGGGUGUAGGGAAGAAUAUGUAUUAAUAAGCCUAUAUUUCUCAUUUUUCUGAUAUGCAAAAUAAAUAACACUUAAAUAUUAAAAGAGCUUAUAAUAUAGAUUAUUUGAAAAAUAGUAACCUUGUUAACAUUCUCUUUAUAAUAUUAGAAAGAAUUGGGAGAAAUAAAGACGUUUGGAAUUUUAAGUGCAAAAUUACCUAGCAACUUAGACAAAGAUGAACCCCAGAAUUGGACUUUUGUGUGUUCUCUGCAUGGAUUUAAAAUGUGAAUUUUAAAGCCUUGUAAAUACAGUUAUUGGGGAAAAAAUACUGAAGAAAGUAAUGCAUUAAAAAGACAGAACUGGUCUAAUGAUAAAAGAGGCAGAAAGAUCUAUUGAAGAAAAGAAUUUUCUAAAAAACAGAAUGGGCCACAUGGAAAAAAUGUACAAAAAUUCACUGAAAAAAGGUAUUCUCCAAAAGUAGAAUUGACCUGGAAAAGAAGGAUGAAAGCUAACUGAAAAAACAAUUCCUUAAAAAUUAGAAUGGACAAGUGAAAGCUAAUGUCUCCAUGAAACAUCAA
Molecule: non-coding RNA, 8451 nt
Organism: Monodelphis domestica (gray short-tailed opossum)
Lineage: Eukaryota; Metazoa; Chordata; Mammalia; Didelphimorphia; Didelphidae
Source: RefSeq, a predicted model, not a curated record